Molecule: small nuclear RNA, 134 nt
Organism: Ornithorhynchus anatinus (platypus)
Lineage: Eukaryota; Metazoa; Chordata; Mammalia; Monotremata; Ornithorhynchidae
Product: U4 spliceosomal RNA
Exons: 1
Source: RefSeq, a predicted model, not a curated record
AGCUUUGCGCAGUGGCAAUUUCAUAGCCUGUGAGGAUGAUCCAAGGCACGAUUACUGAAAACUUUUCCCAAUACCCCACCGUGGCAUCUUGCGAUAUAGUUGUUUCUGGCAAUUUUUGAUGACCUCUCACAAGG